RNAcentral lists this ribosomal RNA (554 nucleotides) under uncultured bacterium. RNAcentral's name for it is "bacterial SSU rRNA". It matches the Rfam family "Bacterial small subunit ribosomal RNA", at positions 777 to 1329 of the family's 1533-position model. The record is from RNAcentral.
AAUAGAUACCCGGGUAGUCCACGCCGUAAACGAUGAGUGCUAAGUGUUGGGGGGUUUCCGCCCCUCAGUGCUGCAGCUAACGCAUUAAGCACUCCGCCUGGGGAGUACGGUUGCAAGACUGAAACUCAAAGGAAUUGACGGGGGCCCGCACAAGCGGUGGAGUAUGUGGUUUAAUUCGAAGCAACGCGAAGAACCUUACCAGGUCUUGACAUCCCGGUGACCACUAUGGAGACAUAGUUUCCCCUUCGGGGGCAACGGUGACAGGUGGUGCAUGGUUGUCGUCAGCUCGUGUCGUGAGAUGUUGGGUUAAGUCCCGCAACGAGCGCAACCCUUAUUCUUAGUUGCCAUCAUUCAGUUGGGCACUUUAAGGAGACUGCCGGUGAUAAACCGGAGGAAGGUGGGGAUGACGUCAAAUCAUCAUGCCCCUUAUGACCUGGGCUACACACGUGCUACAAUGGACGGUACAAACGGUUGCCAACCCGCGAGGGGGAGCUAAUCCGAUAAAACCGUUCUCAGUUCGGAUUGUAGGCUGCAACUCGCCUACAUGAAGCCGG